Non-coding RNA from Phalacrocorax carbo (great cormorant), 3282 nucleotides. The record is from RefSeq and is a predicted model, not a curated record. Lineage: Eukaryota; Metazoa; Chordata; Aves; Suliformes; Phalacrocoracidae.
CAGGUGAAAAUUAACACAGUUGUCCAAAAAAAGGUACUAGAAGAGCGUGCAUCUACAGAAUGAAAAAUACUCAUGCUGUCAAGUGCAAGAUCCAGAACGGUCCAGUUUCAACCUCAGAGCUGAUCCAUAGCUCCACCCUGACCUUCAUUAACAAAACCAGAUCAGAUGGUGCCAACUAGCCAAAGUCAGUCCACCGGGCUGUUCAAAACAGCAAGGAGAGAAGACUCUCCAGAUGCAAACUCUGAUUUUGGCUUUUCCCACAGCUGCAGCCGUCAAAUUAUUUCUCUCCUGUGUGUAUUCUUUGCUGUCCAAUAACAAGGGAACUCACGGUAUAUCAUUAAUAUUAUUCAGUAACUAAAACCCGUUGAUCACGAGGUACAACUCCGGUGGAAAGAAGACCUCAUGGAUUCUGGUAUUCACAGAACUACUAUUUUCUGAUACCUUUUUCUUAAUCUAUAGUAUGUGUAUUUUUUAGAUCAUAAAUAUUUGGGAUAGGGAUAAUACCUGAUUUUUUAACCACUGUAUUGCAUUGGAAUAGUAAGCAAUGGUAUAGUUAGAAAAAUGGUUCCCAUAGUUUUUACCAUGUCUAUAUAUUAAGUAUGUUUUAGGAAGAUUAAAGAAAACACAGCUUUCAGUUGCGCUGCCUUUUGACAGUGCUAAGUUGAAGCUGCCUUAUCGCAUGCUUGGAAUAUUUCAGUCUUAACUCGGUACUAUGGAAUUCUUAAUACAGGCGUUUCUCAGAAGUACAGAACUUACAAGUGUGAAACAUGUUGUAAGAAAUAAUGAGCAAAGAUAAGUAAUAGCAUCCCAGUUGAAAUCAAAGCAGAAAAUAGCUAAAUCAUUUGAAAAGAGAUGAAUUACAGUAAAGUAGCUGUGCAGCAUAUAAUGAGAAGUGACUAUGGACUACAGUGGAAUGAACUCAAGUUGCAGUAGGCAAGCCCAGGUCCUACAAAAAUGGCAGGGGAUAUCUCCUGGCCAGAAAUACCUAAUCAGACAACAUCAGAAAACAUGAAAAAAUCUGGUUUUUGUAAAGAUAUUUUUAUGCAAUUAUUCUUGGAGGAGUCUUGGUGUACCUGUGUAGCUCACCCUAUAUUAUCCUGAAUUACAUAAGACUAAUGAGCACAGAGAGAUAUUCUCACACACACACAAAAAAGAAACCAAAACCAAAGACGUGAAAAAAAUUGAAAAGUCUGCUUAGGUGGAUUUAGUGACAGUUAAAAAUGAAUCUGAGUAAAAAUGGGAAAAUUUUGCAUCCUGUGCAGUCUGCUGUACACUCUGUCCUGUGUGUAAUUAAUCAUUUACACCUGUAUGGAAUGUCACAAUUCUUAUUUGGUAACAUUUUGCAUUGGGAUAAAUAAUACAGUAGCUGCAGGGGGUUGGUAUAUAAAUGGCUUUCCUUAUUUACUUAUUAUCUUUCCCCCCACCUAGAAUAUGUUAAACAUGUUUCAGACCUGACUUGGUUUCAAGUAUGAAUAGGUUUUCAAUAGCAACAUCAUAUAUCUUACUUUAAGGUGUGAAGAGGAAGAAACAAAAAUGUUUUAACUCCAGCACAGUUUUCACGCUUCAGCAUACUUGUGUCCCUUAGGUGGCAUAUAAGUGAUAAAUGAGCACUUUUGACAGCAAACAUAUUUCUUUAUAACCUUCUUCACAAUAAGUGACUAGUUAUCAAAUUUGAUUGCUAACUAUUGUCUGACUUUGCAACAUUCUUGAACACCAUAGAAUUUCAUGGACAAUUUUGCAGGGAAAAAGGCCUGACUAGAUCCUAAGAGGGGGAAAGCACAAUGUAUUCUGAAUCAGUAUUAACUGAGUGGUUAAUAUAGAUGUUUACAAAUAUAAGCAGUUUGUCUGUGCACACCCACCACAUUGUCAGCCCCCAUCUUCAGUCAAUAGAUUUCUUUUCCUUUGAGCUGUGUGAAAUGUUCCAUGUGGAAAAUUAACCCAUAUUUUAAUAUGGGUUAUUGUAACACUACAAUGUUAAUCUAACGUUACAUAACAGUAUGUUACUGUUUUAUGGAGUUCCUGGUGGACUACAGUGAGAGCUGAAUCCCUAGCACUUUUCAUUUUAACCAGGAAACAAAAGUAAUGAUGAUGCUGUCACCAAUUCAGCACCUCCAUGAGCAACACAGAACUGUUAAGAAUCCCAAAGUGGCUGUAACUACCUGUCAUCUUGACGUGCUGUUGAUAGCACUUAGACCAACUGUAGCAGGUCUGGGUCUGGGUACAAGUUCCCUGCCAGGAGCAGUUGUACUGCCAAGGGUUCUCUGUGGCAGUGUGUGUGUGAGGUGCCUGUCCUGCUUCAUCAGCUUUUGGUGUCACUGAAUUGCCAGUUUGCCACAAUGCAGAGAUGUAGCUGUUUCUGGGAUGUUGCAGCUUCUUUAUUUUUCUUAACUGUAUUAACAGUGUUGCAUGCUGUUAUCAUCCCUUUGGUCUGCUGAGACCAUGAAUGAAUUUAGACCUUCAACAACAGCAACCUCAAUACCCUUAUUAAAAAUGCGAUUGUGAUCACUACGUCCUACAUUCAGCCUACGUUGAUGUUUUUGAUCACAUCCUCUGUAUCCCAGCCAAACCUACGUUAUUCUUUACGUUGAGGACUGAUGUGCAAAUUGAAUUAACUCUUUCUGAUGUAAAGACUUACUUCAGUUUGAGUCCCCUUCUGUCCUUUAAGUUUGAAAUCUUUUCUGGUCCACAAGUGAGCAGUGCUGGCCUGUAUAUUCUUCCCUACAUUUCUCAUCCAUUCUUCGUCAUGUUUAAUGAGUAUCCAGAGGUAUAAAAUACAGCAAGUAAGAGCUGUACAAAAAGCGUUUGACCAAUUAAAUGUUGUCAUCUCUUCCUGAAGACAAAAAAUCAGAUAUUUUGAUAAUCUACUCAAUUAGCAGGGAAGAAGCAUAAUCUUUCAGUUGGUGUCUUUUCUAUAUGUAUUUUUUCUCUGAUUAUGCCAGAAACAGCUGUGUUUAGGAACCUGUACCUUAGGAAAUGUAAAAUCUCUAACUUACCUAGAACAGGAAACCAUAAUUUUCUGUCAACAAAUGCUGUGAAAGCAGUGUCUGUGCUAAGUGUGUUCUGCAGGAAUCAAGGAACUUGUGGCACGUGAAUUUUUCAGACAUUUGAAAAUGUUCUGGUCUUCAGUGUCUAUUAGUAUGUAUAUACUACCUAUAAGGGACUUUUUCUGUAGGCUGUUCAGCACUUAUGGAAAAAAGUUUUGAAAUGCAAAAAUAAAAAAGUGUUUCAAAUUUUCCAUCAAGAUCAAAUUUAUACUAUAUGCAAAAACAAAACAACCCAUGC